CUGGCUGAGUUAGUGAUCGGCUAGAGAUUCAUAUUAUUUAUUUGGAGAUAUACAUGUCACUAAGUCCUGAAGCAAAAGCAAAAAUUUUGGCUGAUUUUGGCCGUUGUGA
Molecule: non-coding RNA, 109 nt
Filed under: Shewanella oncorhynchi
Lineage: Bacteria; Pseudomonadati; Pseudomonadota; Gammaproteobacteria; Alteromonadales; Shewanellaceae
Also listed under: 1 other name
Description: Ribosomal S15 leader
Rfam family: Ribosomal S15 leader
About the family: The E. coli Ribosomal S15 gene 5' UTR can form two alternative structures. One that is a series of three hairpins, The other includes a pseudoknot. This structure causes translational regulation of the S15 protein.
Source: RNAcentral